This is an RNA transcript of Rhinopithecus roxellana (golden snub-nosed monkey), 473 nucleotides long. RefSeq lists it as uncharacterized. The transcript has a single exon. The record is from RefSeq and is a predicted model, not a curated record. Lineage: Eukaryota; Metazoa; Chordata; Mammalia; Primates; Cercopithecidae.
AUGGGGGCUCAGUCGGGGCCCCUUCCACAGACAGCCCUGGCCCCUCAGGGUGGAUGGUGAGGCCGCUGCUCCUCCAGCUGCCUCCGUCUCCUCGCAGGCCAGAAGUGGAAAGGGUUUCAAACCCAAGCCUGUGUUCCUGUGUGUGUUCUAUGCAGCAAGGCUUAAAAAUUUCAAGCUGGUUUGGAACUCAACCAGGUCCUCCAAAGGAAACCAAGGCAGGCACAGGAUGGGUGCAGACUGGCUUGGCAGGCAAAUGUGCCGAUCCACCCAGAGUGCCUUGGGAGGCAGUGGGGUUGGCUCUGGCUCCUGUGAACUGCAGCCAGGCCUCUCCCGGUCCCGGUACCCAGGGUCCGGAAGGAGGACUUCUACACAUUUUAUCACCCAGGGACUGCGAAGGCCUGGAGCCCUACCUUCCACCCAUUAACAAAGAAAAGGAUAGUUUCAGAACUGCUUUUAUUUGGAUAACUGACUGA